RNAcentral lists this ribosomal RNA (407 nucleotides) under uncultured bacterium. Its description in RNAcentral is "partial 16S ribosomal RNA". It matches the Rfam family "Bacterial small subunit ribosomal RNA", at positions 28 to 526 of the family's 1533-position model. The record is from RNAcentral.
GACGAACGCUGGCGGCGUGCCUAAUACAUGCAAGUAGAACGCAGUUGCGAACGGGUGAGUAACGCGUAGGUAACUGCCUCAUAGCGGGGGAUAACUAUUGGAAACGAUAGCUAAUACCGCAUACUGUGAGAUGGACCUGCGUUGUAUUAGCUAGUUGGUGAGGUAAAGGCUCACCAAGGCGACGAUACAUAGCCGACCUGAGAGGGGGGUCGGUCACACUGGGCAUUGUGCAACGGCCCGGCUUCUACGGGAGGCCAGAAUAGGGGAACUUCGGGCAUGGGCGGAAGUCUUAACGAGCAAAGCCGGGGGAGGGAAGGAGGUUUUUGGGUUGGAAAGCCUUGUUGGUUGGGAAGCGGUAACUAACCAGAAAGGGACGGCUAACUACGUGCCAGCAGCCGCGGUAAUUC